Molecule: long non-coding RNA, 869 nt
Organism: Psammomys obesus (fat sand rat)
Lineage: Eukaryota; Metazoa; Chordata; Mammalia; Rodentia; Muridae
Exons: 3
Source: RefSeq, a predicted model, not a curated record
UUCCGGAGACCGCGCCCUUCUUCGCCGUCCUAGCCCCGCCCCGCGGAUGCGCGUGGCGACCCGGACCCGGUGGCCUGGCGUGGUUGCCUGACCUCCUCUGCCGUUCUUUUACGCAGAGUCCUCGUUUAGUGAGUUCCCCUGUCCCGGGCGUCCCACCUCCCCCAGGCCCCGAGUUCCCUGCGAGCUGACGGAGCUGAACCCAGUCUCCUGCCUCCUGGAGCUCUGGCCAACCUGCGUCCCGCCAGUAUAUCUCCUGCCGCCCCAAGGCACCUGAGAAUCACUUGAUUCCUGUCCCCCCAUAGCCCUCACCCUUCUUUUGUUGUUGGUUUGGUUUGGUUUUCGAGACAGAGUUUGAAGCCUUGACUGUCCUGGACUCUGUUUGUAGACCAGGCUGCCCUCGAACUCAAGUCAUCCGCCAGCCUCUGCCUCCCUGAGUACUAGGAUUACAGGCGUGCGCCACCGCGCCCGGCUAUCCUCACCCAUUUUUCAGUCCCUAUUUCUUGUUUAUUUGCUGCUCUGCAGAGGAGCUCCAGAAUCAAGGAGCCCUUGGAUGCCAGAAGAAGGCUUCAGACCCUCUGGAACAGGAGGCUGUGAGCCACCAUGUGGAUUCUGAGAACCAACCUGGGUCCUCUGGAAGAGCAGUAUAUGCUCUUAACCACUGAGCCAUGUCUCCAGCCCGGACUUCUCAUAAUCUUAACAUAAGCUGUUGUUGGUUAAGAUGGCAGCACUCUAGGAUACUUUUUCCAGAAAUGAAAACUCACAUUCAUGCUUUAAUGAAUGCUUGUGGCACCUGCAUUCCUUUUAACACCAAGCUGGAGGCAGCACAGAUGUCUCUGAGUAGGUGAAUGGAGCAGUACUCAGCAGUAAAC